UGUGUACUCCCUCCGUUCCAAAAUACUUGACUUCCAUUUGUCCAAAAAUGGAUGUACCUAUAUAGUAAGACAUGUCUAGAUACAUAUAUAUUUUGACAAAUAGAAGGCAUGUAUUGUGUAAUGGAGGGAGUAGAAU
This is a non-coding RNA of Triticum urartu, 136 nucleotides long. Lineage: Eukaryota; Viridiplantae; Streptophyta; Magnoliopsida; Poales; Poaceae. The record is from Rfam.